Molecule: ribosomal RNA, 253 nt
Filed under: uncultured bacterium
Lineage: Bacteria
Also listed under: 1 other name
Description: partial 16S ribosomal RNA
Rfam family: Bacterial small subunit ribosomal RNA
Source: RNAcentral
UACGUAGGGGGCAAGCGUUGUCCGGAAUCAUUGGGCGUAAAGAGCGUGUAGGCGGCUCGAUAAGUCCGCUCUGAAAGCCCGGGGCUCAACCCCGGGAGGCGGGCGGAAACUGUCGGGCUAGAGUCCGGAAGAGGCGAGUGGAAUUCCCGGUGUAGCGGUGAAAUGCGCAGAUAUCGGGAGGAACACCAAUGGCGAAGGCAGCUCGCUGGGACGUGACUGACGCUGAGACGCGAAAGCGUGGGGAGCAAACAGG